This 1786-nucleotide long non-coding RNA is filed under the name Setaria viridis. RNAcentral describes it as "long non-coding RNA (SVIR_LNC006231)". The record is from RNAcentral. Lineage: Eukaryota; Viridiplantae; Streptophyta; Magnoliopsida; Poales; Poaceae.
AAUGUCACCACGAAUUGAUGAUCAUCACCACAGUUGCACUUCCAAAUGAUUCUCGGAGAACAACAGAGCUGCUACUUUAGCACCAUAGAUUUGAACUGAGCCAACAACCACCCAAGGCAUCGUAGGCACAGGCACACAAAAAUAAUAAAUUUUAAAAAUCCACAUAAUCCUCUACCCACAAAAAAACUUAUAGAACUAUCAGCUAUAACAGUUUCAACCGAUCAAGCCAACCAUAAGUUCCACGAGGUGACCUCACUGUCACAGGGCGACGAAAUAGUAGGAGUACAAAGGUAACUGGGGCAACCACAGAUACAAGUGGCCGAAAUAAGGACCGUCUGCAGAACACAAACAUAACCUGCAAUCUUCUCUCCCCCCAUGAAAAAACCCACACAUAGGAGACUACACGAAAACGGCAGCUGAACUCAGAAGCACUUCCUGUGGACGAUUGCUGGGCCGGACUCAUCGUACUCGUCCUUCGAUAUCCACAUCUGUUUUACCAAUCACAAGGAAGACAAUCAGAUGACAAGAACUGGUGUAAUGUUAAGACAAGCAAUAUGGCUUGAUGCCGGAUAAGUUAAAUUCAACAAAUGUGAACCCAACUGCAACAAAGCAAGCAGUACCUGUUGGAAGGUGCUGAGAGAAGCUAGGAUAGACCCUCCGAUCCAGACACUGUACUUGCGCUCAGGUGGAGCAACCACCUUGAUCUUCAUGCUGCUCGGAGCAAGGGCGGUGAUCUCCUUGCUCAUACGGUCAGCGAUGCCUGGGAACAUUGUUGAGCCUCCACUGAGCACAAUGUUGCCGUACAGGUCCUUCCUGAUAUCCACAUCACACUUCAUGAUGGAGUUGUAGGUAGUCUCAUGGAUUCCAGGAGAUUCCAUGCCAAUCAUAGAUGGCUGGAAGAGGACCUCAGGGCACCUAAACCUCUCCGCGCCGAUGGUAAUCACCUGGCCAUCAGGCAGCUCGUAGCUCUUCUCAACCGAGGAGCUGUUCUUGGCAGUCUCCAGCUCCUGCUCAUAGUCAAGGGCCACGUAUGCAAGCUUCUCCUUGAUGUCCCUCACAAUUUCCCGCUCAGCAGAGGUGGUGAAAGAGUAUCCUCUCUCAGUGAGGAUCUUCAUGAGAGAAUCCGUGAGGUCACGGCCAGCAAGAUCCAGACGAAGGAUAGCAUGAGGAAGUGCAUAUCCUUCAUAGAUGGGCACAGUGUGGCUCACACCAUCACCAGAGUCAAGAACAAUACCUGCCAAGUUAUGAACAGGGUUAGCUAGAUACUACUAGAACUGAUAAUUGGUUCACUACUGGUAAUCACAUUUUUCAUCUACCUAACUCUACUGUAUACUAACCUAUGUAUAGAAGACAAAAAUUACACAAGCAUGCAAUGACAAAUUGGAUGCAAACAAGUACUUGAUAAUCACCCAGGUUUAUAUGUUAACAUAUCAGUUGCUUCAAUGAGGUACGACGCAGCUCAACAAUAUUAUGAAUAUAAUUAAUGCAAAACUGGGAAGAGAACGACAAGCGGAAUGGAAUACUUCAUACCUGUGGUACGACCACUAGCAUAGAGUGAAAGCACAGCUUGAAUUGCAACAUACAUGGCAGGGACAUUGAAGGUCUCAAACAUGAUCUGUGUCAUCUUCUCCCUGUUAGCUUUGGGGUUCAAAGGAGCUUCAGUGAGCAACACUGGGUGCUCCUCAGGUGCAACACGGAGCUCAUUGUAGAAAGUGUGAUGCCAGAUCUUCUCCAUGUCAUCCCAGUUGCUGACAAUACCGUGCUCGAUUGGGUACUUCAACGUGAG